GGCUCGUUGGUCUAGGGGUAUGAUUCUCGCUUUGGGUGCGAGAGGUCCUGGGUUCAAAUUGGGUUCAAAUCCCAGGCGAGCCC
Molecule: transfer RNA, 83 nt
Filed under: Danionella cerebrum
Lineage: Eukaryota; Metazoa; Chordata; Actinopteri; Cypriniformes; Danionidae
Description: tRNA-Pro
Rfam family: tRNA
About the family: Transfer RNA (tRNA) molecules are approximately 80 nucleotides in length.
Source: RNAcentral